UAUUGUUGCUUAUGGGUAUAUUUGUUUCUUUGUAUUGUUAAUUUGCAUAUAUUUGUGUGUUCUUGCUGGGUUUUGAUCAGUGAUGGAGCUUUCUGUUUCUUGAUUCGUGUACUUCCGGAUUUUUGAUUGUUGCUUUUAGGGGUAAAGUUGGUUCUUUCUAUUGUCAAAUAUUGUUAUGUGAAAAAAUGAAAGAUCUUCAGUUUUUAAUUUUUUGACCCCUUUUGCUUUAAUUUGCUUAGGAACCAAUUGGAGGCACAAUCUCAGUCAGAUUCAUGCUUUGUCUUUCGUUUGGGGAAAAUUGUAUUUUUAGGGUAAAACUUUGCUAGUGGUGGUUGUUGCAGAUUGCUACAGCUUGAAGCGAUUUUGUUAGAAAAAAUAGAAAAGAAAUAAGAAAGAAAGGAAAAUGCAUCCUCCUUUAACACUACACAAGCACCCGAUGUGCGCCGAAAUUAUUGAGGAGUUCCAGAAGUGUCACAUAGACCAUCCCAUUGGGAAAUUCUUUGGUGAAUGUACAGAUCUCAAAAUAAAGCUUGAUCGUUGUUUCAGGGAGGAGCUCUGAAGCGGAAAGCAAACUUUGAGCAGAGUAAGAAAUUGAAGGAAAGACUACAAGCUUUUAGGAAGGAAACUGCUAAAGAGAACAACCUUGUUCAAAGUUAAUGGGGAAGUGAGAGAUCAACAUCUUCAUGGUAAACAGAAGUUUGAUGAUUACUCCAAGAGCACUCAUCCAUGAACUGUUGCUGGUGCAAAUAACAUACAUAAACUGUUGUUGUAGGAAACAUGACUUGAUAUUUUGUUGCACAUGAUGUUUUCAUGGUGCUUAUUUGUUCUGUUGAAUUCGUGGGAAUUAAUCACAUUCGUGGAAAUUGAA
Long non-coding RNA from Corylus avellana, 868 nucleotides. RefSeq lists it as uncharacterized. The record is from RefSeq and is a predicted model, not a curated record. NCBI's taxonomy places the organism in Eukaryota, Viridiplantae, Streptophyta, Magnoliopsida, Fagales, Betulaceae.